UUAGCCAACUUUUGUUAGUGCGCACCGAAAAGCAUGGCCAGGCGA
Molecule: unclassified non-coding RNA, 45 nt
Filed under: Metschnikowia lochheadii
Lineage: Eukaryota; Fungi; Ascomycota; Pichiomycetes; Serinales; Metschnikowiaceae
Description: partial external transcribed spacer
Source: RNAcentral